Molecule: long non-coding RNA, 568 nt
Organism: Papaver somniferum (opium poppy)
Lineage: Eukaryota; Viridiplantae; Streptophyta; Magnoliopsida; Ranunculales; Papaveraceae
Exons: 3
Source: RefSeq, a predicted model, not a curated record
UCCACUUUCGUUAAGAAAUUCACAUCUUCUUUCUCGGUCUCAACUCGUCAAAAAAAAAAAAAAAGAUUUUAUUUCUUCCCUAACCCCUUUCUUACAAUUAAAGAUCAAUCGAUGAUUUUAUUCAAAGUGGGUUUUUAUUUUAUUGUAAUUAGGGUUUAGAUUUCUAAUUGGGUGAUGGUGUAAUAGGGGAAAUCUGAGAUAUUUGAAGUGGAUUUUGUAAAUAUAGGGAGAUGAAGCGAAAAAUUGAGAGAGUUUGAUGGAGAAAGAUGGAGAUUGGAUCUUUAAUGAGAUUGUUUGAAAGGAAAUUAGAAGAUGAAUUGGAGAAUUUUGGUCAACACUACUGAAAACUUUUUUUUUAUUUUUCUUUGUUUAAAACUUUAAGUUAAUACAUCAUAGUGUAUGAGUAUGACUGUGUGUGUUGGCGCAGUGACUUCUUAGUGCUAUUGUUUGUCAGUAAGUUCAUAAGUUCGCAUAAUGUAAGCUCAAGCACUCUGUUCUUAACAUAGAUUUACAGUUAAAGGUGAGUUUCAUAGUUUAUUCAUGUUUAAAGAAAUCUGUUUUUCGUUAA